Long non-coding RNA from Ipomoea nil (Japanese morning glory), 2391 nucleotides. RefSeq lists it as uncharacterized. The record is from RefSeq and is a predicted model, not a curated record. The transcript is spliced from 5 exons. NCBI's taxonomy places the organism in Eukaryota, Viridiplantae, Streptophyta, Magnoliopsida, Solanales, Convolvulaceae.
GCCCAUCUUCUGGACAUUUCCGAUCAUUUCUCUCUCUCUAUGAUCUAUCUUGUCUCUACGAUCUAUCUUCUCUCUACGAUUUCUAUCUGUCUCUGUAUUGCAUACGGUUUAGGCCGUGAUGCCGGCUAAAUUUGCUAAGAUGCUUGUAUACUCAACUCAUUCUUGUGUAGAUCAUACUUUAUAUUUUGUAACAGAGCCAGAGGGAGAUAGAAGAUUCAGAAUUUAGGGUAGUCCUAAAUUUCUUUCAGAUAUCGAACCCUACUUUUCUAAAGCACCGGCGAGUGUAAUGCUUCGUUGGUUCUAAUCCCCCUAAAUCUCUAGAUGAACGUCGAUCUGCAGAUUAGAGCUAUGGAUGUGAUGGAUCUCACAUCAUUUGCAAUCGGAGGAAAGUAAGGAUGAACUUGGUGAUACACUUGUAAUUGCCUCUUAAUUCUGAUCUGGAUAUAGUGUAUAUGUUAUUUUAAUUAGGUUAGAGUCACUUGGAACUGCAACUCUUUGUAAAAAGUCUCUUGUCUUAGCUUUUAGUUGUAAAGGUUCAUCUGAAUUAUUACACAGUAGCAUAAAGUUGUAAUCUGGUAUUUUAAGACUUAUUGGUGAAGUUAAGAGUAUUUUGGUGUACAUAUAUAUAGUUGGUUUGAUCACUUUGGUAUUUUAACAUCGAUAAUCUAUAAUUGACAUUAUAUAUAUAAGCUUUGUCGAGAAGAAGGCUGGCUUCUGGAUAUUUUCGAUCUGCACUCUCUCUGUCUACAGCACUAUCAAGGAUCUGAAGUUUGCUAUGAGGUUUCUUAUACUCCUCAUUCUUCUAGAUAUCAAACGAUUCCGUAAGUCAUGACCCACGAUGCCGAGCUGCAAUCCUCGACGUCGUCCGCCUCUUCUUCACCAAUUUACAUCCACCCAAGAUGUGAGCCCUUCGAGCACGGCCUUCUCCCCAUUCCCAAGCUCAUCUUCACCGACGGCACCGAAACAAUGGGCCCCAUUUAGGACAAGCUCUUCUACCCAAUCGCAUCACAUUUCCGAUUUCCUCCAGAUCUCACCUCAGGUACUAAGCAGUGCGAUCAUAUGCUCGCAGUAGACGUUACUAUGAUCUAUUUAAGGGUCGUGUACCUGGAGCCAAGGAAUUCAGGAAAACUUGGGCUAAAGAAAUGGAAGAUGAGGAUAACUGUUUAUGGACUGGAAGUGAGGGCGAGAGUGAGCCAAGUUCUUUGAAGAAGGAAAUCAGAAAGGCCAAACAACGAGCUAUAGAGCACUCAGAUCGCAUUGAUGCAGACGACAGUGAUGAGUUAAGAAGUGUGUGGUCUGGUAGUGAUGAAGAGAAAACGCUGUGGACCGGUAGUGAAGGAGAUGAUGAUGAUGACAUUCCUACAGAAGCUUAUCCAAACGAGAAGAGUGAUGAAUAUAUAGAUAAACUGUUUGAGUUUGAUGAAAAGCCAAAGUAUACAACACUCUCUGAGGCUGAGGCUUUAAAAGAUGAGGAGGAGCCAAAAGAGUUAUCGCCUGGAAAGCAAGCUAGGAAACUUGCAGUUGAAAAUGCCCUUAAGAGAUUGAAGUAGGGGCCUGAUGGUAGAUACAUCAAUGUGUGAUCUGGACAUUCUAAUAGGGGCUUUUGAGAACAUCAUUUCAGGGCCAGAAUAUGCUGAACUCAGGCAGGGGGGACCUAGGAAGUUGAAUAUGCAGUUUUUUAAGGACAUUCUUGCUCGUAUGAGAGAUCCAAACUAUAAGUUCUCUCCUGAACUGAAGUUAAAACCGAAGAGCAAAGUGGUCCCGAGAAAGAAGUGGCAGAAGGUAGAAUCUAGACGUAGGAAAGCCCGGAAGCGCUAGCUAAGUUGUAGCCUUUUCUUGGCAUCCAAACUUUUGUAGGUGACUGAAGAAAUGGAGAUGGCAUUUGUAGAAUUUAAUGCAGAAAAGAGUUUCAGCUUUAAUUUGAGAAUACUUGUUAGAUGCUGUCAAAGAUUUGUUUGAUGAAAUGAGGGAUGAUGAAAUAUUGCCUGGUCGAGCUAUGCAAUGGUCAUUCCAGUGAAUGCAGGAGGCAGGUUAUGAUGAAAGUGUGAAUGAAUUGAUCAGAGAAAUGCUUCCAGAUAGGAGAAUUAAGAGUAUUGCAUAUUCCAUGGAUGUUAAUGAGGAAGAAAAUGCUGACUUUGUUUCUGAAGAUGUUGGAGAUCAACUUCAAUUGAAGCCAUGGCUGGACCCUGCUGCUUUAACUAGUGCAUUGCAGCAUUGGAGGGUGGAAAAUUUGUGUGGACAACUAGGUGCAAUUUCUUUUGCUGGGUUUCUUAUUUACCAGGAUUUACUCAUUAUUUUUACACAAUGUGAAGGAUGAUUGCCAAGUUGGCUCGUGUCCAUUUAGUUGAUAAACUUUUGUCUAAGAUGGAAAAAGAGGGUUUUAGGUUGUCA